RNAcentral lists this ribosomal RNA (497 nucleotides) under uncultured bacterium. Its description in RNAcentral is "partial 16S ribosomal RNA". It matches the Rfam family "Bacterial small subunit ribosomal RNA", at positions 28 to 507 of the family's 1533-position model. The record is from RNAcentral.
GAUGAACGCUGGCGGCGUGCCUAAUACAUGCAAGUCGAGCGAACGGACGAGAAGCUUGCUUUUCUGAUGUUAGCGGCGGACGGGCGAGUAACACGUGGAUAACCUACUUAUAAGACUGGGAUAAUUUCGGGAAACAGGAGCUAAUACUGGAUAAUAUUUUGAACCGCAUGGAUCAAAAGUGAUAGAUGGUCUUGCUGCCACUUAUAGAUGGAUCCGCGCUGCAUUAGUUAGUUGGUAAGGUAACGGCUUACCAAGGCAACGAUGCAUAGCCGACCUGAGAGGGUGAUCAGCCACACUGGAACUGAGACACGGUCCAGACUCCUACGGGAGGCAGCAGUGGGGAAUCUUCCACAAUGGGCGAAAGCCUGACGGAGCAACGCCGCGUGAGUGAUGAAGGUCUUCGGAUCGUAAAACUCUUUUAUUAGGGAAGAACAUAUGUGUAAGUAACUGUGCACAUCUUGACGGUACCUAAUCAGAAAGCCACGGCUAACUACGUG